Molecule: ribosomal RNA, 290 nt
Filed under: uncultured eukaryote
Lineage: Eukaryota
Description: partial 18S ribosomal RNA
Rfam family: Eukaryotic small subunit ribosomal RNA
Source: RNAcentral
GGUUGAUCCUGCCAGUAGUCAUAUGCUUGUCUCAAAGAUUAAGCCAUGCAUGUCUAAGUAUAAAUAGUAUACAGUGAAACUGCGAAUGGCUCAUUAAAACAGUUAUAGUUUAUUUGAUAAUGGAAAGCUACAUGGAUAACCGUGGUAAUUCUAGAGCUAAUACAUGCUAUCAAACCUGACUUAUGGAAGGGUUGUAUUUAUUAGAUAUCAAGCCAAUAUUCCUUCGGGUCUAUUGCGACGAAUCAGAAUAACUGAUCGAAUCUCAAAUUUGAGAUGAAUCAUUCAAGUUU